GGAAGAUCUUGGAAUUCCUGUCCAGCUCCAGCUGAUUUUUCUCUUCAUGACCAUAAAAUAAAGCUAUGCUCUCCCAACAAUCAAGAAAUAUCUCUUCAGUUAAGGAAGGAAAGUGCUAUAAAGAAAAGAUGAAAAACAUAUUCUGUGAAUAGAUGAUCUAUGUAAUGCUUACUAAGAUGGAACUGGGAACAAUCCUUACCACCAAAAAGGGAAUGGGGUUCAAGUUAUGCUUGAGAAGAGUCUCCAAAUGCUGGGUGACUUGAUGACUUCUGUGCAGCUCCUAGAGAUACCACCUCCUCCCAGAGCAGUUACAGUCCAUCUGCAUGAGAUAUGCCCUAAACAUAUUUAGAGAUCAUUAGCUUCAGAGAAAACUGCUGUGAGAACACAAUGAAACUUCAAACAAUUUCCCAGGAGACAGAACAGGGAAAAGUGACCCAAUGGGCUAAAAAGAGAUGAAGUAGAAAAAGGAAAGUGACAGAACUAACAAAGGCUAAUAAUGACAAAAACUUGGUAAUAUUGUCAUCACUAAUUUCUUACUGACCAUUAAAUGCUGCAUUUUGCCACCACACCUUUCCUUCCUACCUGAAAUUCUGGAUCAACAAGUUCUCUCUCUUAAUCUUCGCGAAGACAGCCUCAUCUUCAUUCAACAUAUGAUGUUCCCGUACUGAAGACUGGAGCUCCUCAGGCAGGAUGAAUUGGAACUGCUCAACUCCAAUUACCAGGAGUUCUAGGAUCUGCUCCUUGAUGUGACUUUCUGGUCUUGACCCCUUAUAACAAAGUUCCCAGAGUUGGCUUAGAAUCUCCCUGGGUUCAGAUGUCUUCUAGUGGCAGAAUUGUCUAAAGUGUUGGUGGGAGACUUCCUAGCUAGACUGGUUGUUCUGUUGCAAAUUAACUUCUUGUACAAAAAAAAAAAAAAUUGUCUUCAUCUACCUUUAACUACCAUAGGUCCGUCCUGUUUUGCUCCAUCCUGGAUGAUAUAAUCUAUAUCCAUUUUCACUCAGGAGAGGGAUCCCUACAGAUGGGUUUAUGCUCCAGGGAAAAUACCCUUCAAAAAUAUAAAAAGUAUCAUGAAAGAGAAAAACUGUCUUCACUUUAAAAAUCUACUUGUAAUAUUAAAAGUUGUCUAUGCCAUACUAUUUUAAGAGAAGCAUAGGAAAAAGAUUUCUGAAGUUUUGCUAACAGUAAUGCAUUUGA
Long non-coding RNA from Sciurus carolinensis (gray squirrel), 1194 nucleotides. RefSeq lists it as uncharacterized. The transcript has 3 exons. The record is from RefSeq and is a predicted model, not a curated record. Lineage: Eukaryota; Metazoa; Chordata; Mammalia; Rodentia; Sciuridae.